Molecule: small nuclear RNA, 196 nt
Filed under: Helianthus annuus (common sunflower)
Lineage: Eukaryota; Viridiplantae; Streptophyta; Magnoliopsida; Asterales; Asteraceae
Description: U2 spliceosomal RNA
Rfam family: U2 spliceosomal RNA
About the family: U2 is a small nuclear RNA (snRNA) component of the spliceosome (involved in pre-mRNA splicing). Complementary binding between U2 snRNA (in an area lying towards the 5' end but 3' to hairpin I) and the branchpoint sequence (BPS) of the intron results the bulging out of an unpaired adenosine, on the BPS, which initiates a nucleophilic attack at the intronic 5' splice site, thus starting the first of two transesterification reactions that mediate splicing.
Source: RNAcentral
AUACCUUUCUCGGCCUUUUGGCUAAGAUCAAGUGUAGUAUCUGUUCUUAUCAGUUUAAUAUCUGAUAUGUGGGUCAUCGACCCACUCGAUAUUAAUCUUAUUUUUUAUGGGGAAAGGUCCAUUACAAUAGCUUGCUAUUGGGGUCUUUGAGUGUCGCCUUGGCGUUGCACUACUGCCUUGGCCUGGCGCACCCCUC